RNAcentral lists this ribosomal RNA (468 nucleotides) under uncultured bacterium. RNAcentral's name for it is "partial 16S ribosomal RNA". It matches the Rfam family "Bacterial small subunit ribosomal RNA", at positions 28 to 507 of the family's 1533-position model. The record is from RNAcentral.
GACGAACGCUGGCGGCGUGCUUAACACAUGCAAGUCGAACGGAAAGGCCCUGCUUUUGUGGGGUGCUCGAGUGGCGAACGGGUGAGUAACACGUGAGUAACCUGCCCUUGACUUUGGGAUAACUUCAGGAAACUGGGGCUAAUACCGGAUAGGAGCUCCUGCUGCAUGGUGGGGGUUGGAAAGUUUCGGCGGUUGGGGAUGGACUCGCGGCUUAUCAGCUUGUUGGUGGGGUAGUGGCUUACCAAGGCUUUGACGGGUAGCCGGCCUGAGAGGGUGACCGGCUACAUUGGGACUGAGAUACGGCCCAGACUCCUACGGGAGGCAGCAGUGGGGAAUUUUGCACAAUGGGCGGAAGCCUGAUGCAGCAACGCCGCGUGCGGGAUGACGGCCUUCGGGUUGUAAACCGCUUUCGCCUGUGACGAAGCGUGAGUGACGGUAAUGGGUAAAGAAGCACCGGCUAACUACGUG